UACGAAGGGGGCUAGCGUUGUUCGGAAUUACUGGGCGUAAAGCGCACGUAGGCGGAUAUUUAAGUCGGGGGUGAAAUCCCGGGGCUCAACCCCGGAACUGCCUUCGAUACUGGGUAUCUUGAGUUCGGAAGAGGCGAGUGGAAUUCCUAGUGUAGAGGUGAAAUUCGUAGAUAUUAGGAAGAACACCAGUGGCGAAGGCGGCUCACUGGCCCGGUACUGACGCUCAUGUGCGAAAGCGUGGGGAGCAAACAGG
Molecule: ribosomal RNA, 253 nt
Filed under: uncultured bacterium
Lineage: Bacteria
Description: partial 16S ribosomal RNA
Rfam family: Bacterial small subunit ribosomal RNA
Source: RNAcentral